RNAcentral lists this ribosomal RNA (388 nucleotides) under uncultured bacterium. RNAcentral describes it as "bacterial SSU rRNA". It matches the Rfam family "Bacterial small subunit ribosomal RNA", at positions 28 to 417 of the family's 1533-position model. The record is from RNAcentral.
GACGAACGCUGGCGGCGUGCUUAACACAUGCAAGUCGAGCGGUAAGGCCCUUUCGGGGGUACACGAGCGGCGAACGGGUGAGUAACACGUGGGUGACCUGCCCUCAGCUCUGGGAUAAGCCUGGGAAACUGGGUCUAAUACUGGAUAUGACUCCACGGUGCAUGUCGUGGGGUGGAAAGCCUUGUGCAGCUGAGGAUGGGCCCGCGGCCUAUCAGCUUGUUGGUGGGGUGAUGGCCUACCAAGGCGACGACGGGUAGCCGGCCUGAGAGGGCGACCGGCCACACUGGGACUGAGACACGGCCCAGACUCCUACGGGAGGCAGCAGUGGGGAAUCUUGCGCAAUGGGCGAAAGCCUGACGCAGCGACGCCGCGUGAGGGAUGACGGCCU